CUGUCACAUGUUCCCUUAUCUCUCACAUACUCUCUACCUAAACCCAGUUUUUAAGUGCCGUCACUGGCUUAGCCCUCCAUUCUACGAUGUUUCUUUGUCGUCUUAAGCCUAUAUUGGCCUCUUACUUGCUAUGGUAUCUCCAUUUCUUGGAUCCUUGAGGAGAUUCUCAAGGGAUCUACACAAAUCUGUUUACACCUUUGGGUUUUCUCGCCUGUUUUAGGCAAUUUGGCUCGCCCAUUGAGUAAGAUCCUUCUUAUUUUCGUCUUAAAUACAUGGAUUCCUAAGUCUUUGUUCUUGUCUCUAUUUUUCUUCUAAAAAACCCUAAUUUUAUCUUUGAUCUUCUCAGAUCUGAGACGGAUUGAACGUACUUCAUAUGCUUUCUUGAAAGUUUUCUAUUUUUUUCAAGUGAUUUUUCGUUCUUCCUAAAACUAGGGUUUACUGAAACUCAUCUUCUCAAAGUUUUUCUGAUUUUCAAGUGUUAAUCGUUUGUUCUUAAGUAUUAUUGAUGGAUUUCUGCUAAAAAAUUUUCGUCCCUAAUCAAUUUAUGCUAAAGCCCUAAUUUUCUUAUAUUUUGCUUCGAUUCUGAGUAUUUCUGUGUUACUUGUUACAUUGUUUUGUUCUGUGCUUUAACUUUCAUGAUUUCCCUUUAGUCUAAUUCAAUGUCUUGUGAUUUUUUGCCCUAGUUAUAUCUAUUAGGUUUUCUGAUUCGAUUUAUCGGCUAAUUUCUGUAUGUUUAUGAAAUUCUAUUUAGGCUAUUUGUCUAUUUGUGGAAACUGAUAUUUUUUCCGUAAAUCAGUACUAGUUUGAAUUUUGAUUUAUUGAUCUGAUCUGUCAAAACUUAUGUGCUGGUUCUUGAUUAUUUCACUUGUUUACAACCAUAAUUAGUUUUCUUACCUUAUGUGAUUAGCUAUGAUACUUACUGAUUCUUUAAGAUUGCUUCCUUAAUUGAACUCCUGUCUAUUUACCCCUAAUUGCUCACUUAAUUUUCCUUUCUUAAACGUAUCAUGCCCUUUACCGUUGGGUAAUUAUCCUUACCUAAGGAAAAAACUACACUAAUUUGUGUAAUUGAUUCUGUGACUUCUUUUGUUGCUGAAUGUUUGAUCUCCUUUACCUUAUUAUUUUUUGCUCUUAACUACUAUAUAUACUCUAUUCUAUUCUCACUUCUAACACACAAACAUUAGUUCACAAAAUACUCAUACACUCUAAAAGCUAUCUGUUAUUCUCUACUGCUUGUGGUGUUCACUAGUCUAGCUGGCUGUAAGCCAAGGCUAGAUAUUGCUCAAUAUUUUCUUUGCAUUCUGUGUUUUUCUUCCUAACUGGCAUGUCCCUAAUUAUUUUUUAAUCCAAACCCUAUGUGUUUCAUUACUGUCUUAAGCUCACCAAUUAUAAGUCCCAUUCUUGUUUCUGAUCAUUGUCUUGCUAAACAAUGUCCUAUAUAUGAUUAGCAUGUCUAACUGCAUUAGCAUAUCUAUGCUUUAUCUAGCAUGCCUAAAUUCUGCCUGUUUGAAUGUGUAAUUAUCAUGUCUAUACUUCACCUGUUAUCUGAUACUUGCUUGUUUGCAAUUCAUAUUUAAUCCCUCAACUAUAUAACCAUCCUACUUGUGUGUUUAGUUGAGUAUUCUAAAUCUUCUCUCCAUGUCUUAAUUGCCUACUAUUUUGGAUAAUCUGUUAGAGCUAUGAAGCUCCUAGGUGUUCUAUGAACAUUGUUGUCUACAUGCUUCCCUACACCCUAUUGAUGCACCUUCAAUGAGGCUCCUAUAUGUUCCCCAAUCCCUUCCCCUGUGUGCAAGGCUGCCUACUAUAGUACGUGGAAAUCUGAACCUUCCAUGACCAAAUGGAUGUCUGCUUAAUUUUCCCUCUUUGAACUAUUUUCAAAAUGCUUUCAAUAUUCUUUUAACUAGCUUUCAUUACUAGUAUUUUUCUCAAAACUGGUCUAUUAUAGAAAAAUCUUUUUUCACUCCUAAACUAUUUUCACUAAGUCUUUCAAGCUAUGUCAAGCACUCUCACUUACUCCUAGGUUGCUAAGUUCUUCCCAUAUGGUAUGUGUACUGCUUAGAUAUCAUUGAGAUAUCUCAUAACUCUAGCAUAUCAGGGUUGUCUCUUCCACACUGCACAUAAUCAGUCUUUAAUUAUGAAAAGUGAGCACUGCUCAGGAUCCUUGAGGUCCUUUGGAAACUCUGACACACCUGGACAUGAAAUUGGCUGUGAAAUCGUUGGCAUUUGAGACUACUGAAGGCCUGGUACCCAAGGUUUUCUUUGGGCAUGCAUCAGACUCCUUAUAACUUAAUUUUUAUUGUAUUUAUGUACUUUAUUCGAUCAUUGGUCUGUAAUAAUUAUUUGUAAACAAACAUUGGGGUAACUGGUGAAAAGGGAGGGUAACUAUAUGAUCUUAUGAGUAAUGCUGGGUAGAAAUCAUGUUUCUAGGUCUUACAUUGUGCAACUCUGUACUAGAAAUCAUGUUCUAGGAUUACUGUGUCUAUUUGUAUUCAAACUAUGCCAAGCUUGUUCACUAGACAUUUUGAUUCAGG
Molecule: long non-coding RNA, 2528 nt
Filed under: Nicotiana benthamiana
Lineage: Eukaryota; Viridiplantae; Streptophyta; Magnoliopsida; Solanales; Solanaceae
Description: long non-coding RNA (NBEN_LNC016513)
Source: RNAcentral